CGAUGGGUAGGGGUUCUGAGAGGAAGGUCCCCCACAUUGGAACUGAGACACGGUCCAAACUCCUACGGGAGGCAGCAGUGAGGAAUAUUGGUCAAUGGGCGCGAGCCUGAACCAGCCAAGUAGCGUGCAGGAAGACGGCCCUAUGGGUUGUAAACUGCUUUUGCAGGAGGAUAAUAUGUCCCACGUGUGGGAUAUUGCAGGUAUCCUGCGAAUAAGGACCGGCUAAUUCCGUGCCAGCAGCCGCGGUAAUACGGAAGGUCCGGGCGUUAUCCGGAUUUAUUGGGUUUAAAGGGAGCGUAGGCGGGAGAUCAAGUCAGUUGUGAAAAGCAGCCGCUCAACGGUUGUCGUGCAGUUGAUACUGGUUUUCUUGAGUGCGCGCGAGGAUGGUGGAAUUUGUGGUGUAGCGGUGAAAUGCUUAGAUAUCACAAAGAACUCCGAUUGCGAAGGCAGCUGUCCGGAGCGCAACUGACGCUGAGGAUCGAAGGUGCGGGUAUCAAACAGGAUUAGAUACCCUGGUAGUCCGCACGGUAAACGAUGGAUGCUAGUGGUCGGCGACAGACUGUCGGUCACCGAGCGAAAGCGUUAAGCAUCCCACCUGGGGAGUACGCCGGCAACGGUGAAACCCAAAGGAAUUGACGGGGG
Molecule: ribosomal RNA, 642 nt
Filed under: uncultured bacterium
Lineage: Bacteria
Description: bacterial SSU rRNA
Rfam family: Bacterial small subunit ribosomal RNA
Source: RNAcentral